Molecule: long non-coding RNA, 298 nt
Filed under: Elaeis guineensis (African oil palm)
Lineage: Eukaryota; Viridiplantae; Streptophyta; Magnoliopsida; Arecales; Arecaceae
Description: long non-coding RNA (EGUI_LNC080049)
Source: RNAcentral
UACUUUCUCUCUAGAAUUUUCUAUCUCUAGACUGAUUCUCUCUCUUGAUAGAUUUUCCUCUUUCGAAGUUAUCUUUCUAAGAUUAGCCUAGUGAAGGACUUCUUUUUGAUGAUUUUGAUCGAGCUUAGCGAACGAUUCGAUUUUAAGUGAAAUUUUGAUUAGAAAUUUUAUUUUGAAUUAGCUGUAAAUUAGAAUUAAUAUAAAAAUAUAAUUUUGAAUAAUAGGUUCUGAAGAAUUCUCUCAAGAUUAAUCGAUUUGUUUGUUCAGUUUUCUGCAAGAAGUGAUGAACUGUCUUCUC